AACGAACGCUGGCGGCAGGCCUAACACAUGCAAGUCGCACGAGAAAGCACUUCGGUGUGAGUAUAGUGGCGCACGGGUGAGUAACGCGUGGGAAUAUACCCUUUAGUACGGAAUAGCCCCGGGAAACUGGGAUUAAUACCGUAUACGCCCUUCGGGGGAAAGAUUUAUCGCUAAAGGAUUAGCCCGCGUUAGAUUAGUUUGUUGGUGGGGUAACGGCCUACCAAGACUACGAUCUAUAGCUGGUCUGAGAGGAUGAUCAGCCACACUGGAACUGAGACACGGUCCAG
This 287-nucleotide ribosomal RNA is filed under the name uncultured bacterium. Its description in RNAcentral is "partial 16S ribosomal RNA". It matches the Rfam family "Bacterial small subunit ribosomal RNA", at positions 29 to 334 of the family's 1533-position model. The record is from RNAcentral.